Molecule: unclassified non-coding RNA, 334 nt
Filed under: soil metagenome
Description: partial contains 5.8S ribosomal RNA, internal transcribed spacer 2, and large subunit ribosomal RNA
Rfam family: 5.8S ribosomal RNA (bases 1-120)
Source: RNAcentral
GAUGAAGAACGUAGCGAAAUGCGAUAAGUAGUGUGAAUUGCAGAAUUCAGUGAAUCAUCGAAUCUUUGAACGCACAUUGCGCCCCUUGGUAUUCCAUGGGGCAUGCCUGUUCGAGCGUCAUUUGUACAUUCAAGCUUUGCUUGGUGUUGGGUGUUUGUCCAUUCUCUUGCAGAGGGACUCGCCUUAAAGUAAUUGGCAGCCAGUGUUUUGGUUUUGAAGCGCAGCACAAGUCGCGAUUCAACGCUAUACGCCAGCUUCCACAAGCCUUUUUCACUUUUGACCUCGGAUCAGGUAGGGAUACCCGCUGAACUUAAGCAUAUCAAUAAGCGGAGGA